AUUACUUCUUAUAUUACUUAUCACAUCACCAUUGGUAAUAGAACGUUAUUAGAAUCUUUUAUUAUAUAUAAACCAAACAAAGUAAUAUAAGUAAUAAAAGAUAAAUUACCAGAGUAAUCUUAAAUGUCCUUUAACCAAAUGCCCCUUACAGUUAUAGAAACUGUCAGGCCUGAUUCCUCUUUACACCAAGAUGUUUUUGUCAUUCCCCUUGGUCAUGAAAAUUUAAAAGGGUUGCAAAAUUUUUUCCUCGCAAUUAUUCUCUCUGAGAUUUGAUUCCCUCUGAGUCCAACAUGUUUUUGCCAUUCCCCUUAAUCAUGAAUUUGCUGAUGACUUAAUUCCUUAUCACUCCAAGACAAAGAUUAGUGCUUGUUAUAAGGCAAUUAGGAGAUUAGAGUACUGCAUUUAGUCAUUUGCUCUAACUGAGUGGAGAACUUGGGAUUUCCGUAAUGUAUACUUUGCUCUAUCAAGCCAUUUAGGCAUUGUACAGAUGGAUUUUUAGACGCUUGGGAUUAAGCAGAAAACAAGUUUUGGAAAGAAUAAAGGCCCAAAUUCAAUAAAAAUUAGAAGGAAUGAUGAAGAAAUUUACUGAAAAAAGAUGCAAUCCUAAAAAAUACAUGGAAAGAGCCAUGCCAAGAGGCACCACAAGCACGAAGAUGCAAUUUGCCAAGACAACAGAGAACACUUUUUUCCCUCCAAAUAUCUCAGUAUAAAAGGAUAACUGUAAGACGCUCUGCAAAUGGAGUUUAAGAUAGGAAAAUUGAUGAAGAUUACUAUGUAUCUUCAAUUGACUGUACCCUAAUCCCACACCUGCCAGGAUCUGCGUGAUUAGGGCAUCUUCAGAAAGAGAGCAUGGGAAUAUGCUGAAAGUAGCCAGUACUGGACUUCAUCUUGAAAAUACUCAUGGUUGUCUGACUUUUUAUUGUAUUUUAAAGUUGCACUCUAAGCUGUAGGAUACGAGCUUUGUCCUGUGAACAGUGAAAAUUUUGCAAGCUAGCAAAACCUCUUAAGCAGUUUACUAAUCUGUUACAGCACCAAGGACCACUUCUAUUGUAAUUGACUUCACCCAGCCUAACAAGGUCUGGUUCUGCAUACAUUGUUUGAGCCUGGAAUAGUGCUUAUGAAGGGAUGAUGAGUUUUCUU
Mangifera indica (mango) is the source of this 1140-nucleotide long non-coding RNA. RefSeq lists it as uncharacterized. The record is from RefSeq and is a predicted model, not a curated record. The transcript is spliced from 2 exons. Lineage: Eukaryota; Viridiplantae; Streptophyta; Magnoliopsida; Sapindales; Anacardiaceae.